Long non-coding RNA from Betta splendens (Siamese fighting fish), 4427 nucleotides. RefSeq lists it as uncharacterized. The transcript has 4 exons. NCBI's taxonomy places the organism in Eukaryota, Metazoa, Chordata, Actinopteri, Anabantiformes, Osphronemidae. The record is from RefSeq and is a predicted model, not a curated record.
AGGUCUAGAGAGAGAGAGAGAGAGAGGGAGAGAGAGAGAGAGAGAGAGAGAGGAAAAAUGAGCUGUGCUCUGUGGAGAGAUCUAAAGAGGCUAUUGAGCUCAGCUUCACACAAGCAGUGUUUGGCAAAUAAUUGUUGACUGUUAUUCUGAUUUGAAUGGCAUACCAUAAAUAACCGUAAGCCAUGUUCCAAGUCUCUAGCAUCUACUUGAUAUGGACGGUGAUGCUGCAGGUCUUUGCUCGAGUUUGUGAGCCGUUUUUGGAGCGGAUCGCUGGAUUUGUUAUAAGACUAUAAACAGGAAGGAUGACUCAAUCUAAACAUAUUUCAGAGAAUCAAAUGAGCCUUCUUAGGCCACGCUGACGCGACGAUUAGAGCUGGAGCUGUGCUUCCAGAGGCCAUUUAAUCGUAGCAGAUGUCUCAUUUUGUUGAGUUGUAGUUAGCAAAAAGAGCUCAAUGUGUUUUUCCAAACUCGUCACAGCAGCAACACGUCCAGCGUCAUGUUAUUAAGGUUUGAUGGUCAUCUGACAUUUUGAAGCACAUUUUAUAAAGUUAGGCUCUUCAGAACAGCAUUAUCUAGCACUUGCAUAAAGUGGAAAACAAUUAAAAGGCUCAUUGACUUGCAAUUUGUUAGAAUAAGCGCUCAGUAUAAAUACAAUAUGUGGAUGCUGAUAGGAAUUUCAAUUUUCUUCUUCCUCUACCCAGGGAUUUUGUCGGGAAACAAAAUGUGACGAGCAAAAGGAGCUAAAUGUGUUUACCCAAAUUGUGUUUUUCUACAACUCAGAAAAGCCUGUGCAUGCAAAGAACACCGAGCUCUCAGAAAUGCCAGCCAAGAGUGAGGAGGGGGGAGCUUUGGCAGCCGAGCGCAGCAGACAGAAAACGCUUACCUAAUGCUUCAGUUAGUGCUUGUUUUAUUGUUCAGCUGUUGGUUUUGAGCGGAAGUUCCACUUCACUCGUCAUUAUUUUUGUCUCCCAGAUCCUCAUUUGCCCUCUCCAUGAAGGUUUGCACAGCUCAACCUGUCAUUACGGUGCAACCUGAAAUAAAAUCUAUAUUUCUAUUGUUUCAUAUUUUUAAAUAUAUGAAUCCUGAUUUUUGACUGAAGCAGAUUCAUCGCGGUUUUACUCAGGUGCAGCUAAAUGACUGCUUUUACUGCUUUGGGACAUGCCCUUGGUGCUGCCUUUGCUCACUAUUUGAUCCUCUCUGGCUCGCUCUCACGCUCUCGCUCUCUCUCUCACUCUCUGUUUAUAGGGCAAGUCGGGGAAAGGACAGCUGUCAGGUCUGAUCAGAGGCAGUGAACAUCGAGUUACAGGUGAGGGAAGAAGGCACAGCAUGUCCAAGGAGGAGACAUCCAGAGGACAGAGAUAAACAGAUAUGCUGGAUUUUUCCUCUUGGAACAACGUUAAAUCAACAUCCUGUUUGUGCAUUUGCUUAAGUAUGCAAAGAAAAAGUAUAUUGGAUUAUUAUUAUUUUUAUUAUCACAGACUGCCACAAUGAAGCUUUUAGGCUGAACCUUUCUUUGUUACUCAGUAAUGACAGGAAAUGCUUCAAAGGUCUGUGUGUGGGCACGUUAAGUCAGUAGAAGCUUGAAAACAUCAUGAAUAAAAAAAAAAUAGGUUAACCCUUUAUGAAGACAUGCUAUGCCCUGUUUUAAUCUGAUAAUCUGAUGCUGAUUAUAGCCCGACCUUCCAGCGACCUCGGGCAAUUACAGCGCUAGAGAUUAGCCAUUAUACUGUGGGACUCGUAUCAUAGGAGUUAUGAGUGACAUCUAAUUUACAGUCAAUGGCAAAACUUCAAAGUACCAGACAUGUAAAAUGGGUAUUUACACUUUGAAAAGUCCUUUAACCAAAUCCUAAUCUGAAAUGUCUGUCAGAAAAAUAAUUCGCCCAAGCCUUAGUUUCAUAUUUCUUCAUAUAACCUCUAUUAUAAAUAUAAUCAAACUGUAUUAACGUUCAGUAUCAGUAAAAGUCCCAACUAGCGUAAAGAAAUCACAAUUCCACUCUCCUUCUGCCUCAACAUCUGCUUCCUCCACUCUUUUCCUUUCCUCUCUCUUUCAUCACGUUGGGGGAAAAUGGGUUUUGAGCACUCUCUCAUGAACAAUUGAUGACAGAGGGUGGCGGCUGUGAAUGAUGCCUCCAACCAUGUGGCUCAGCUCUUCUUCAACGUGGACGCCCCAGAAUCAGAUGAGCAGCAUGGAGGCAUGAAGCGGGGGCCGAGCGCACGGAGCGGGUGAAGCGGUGAGUCACCCUCGACACCCCCCCCCCUCCUCCUGCCGCGAGCGCUGCUCUUAUCAGCGUCCUCCACGCAGCCUGUGACCACGGCGACCGUCUCCCACCGCCGGGCUCAGGGCGCUGAUGCGCCGCCGCCCGCCUCCUGCGGGGGCUCAGGCGCCGCUCGCGCCUCCACCUGCAGAAACAGAGCGUCAGGGGACGGCGGCAAUAUCGCUCAGGCCCCUGAACGUGGGCGCUGGGUCACAAUGCUCCUCUGUGCACCCUGACGUAUGGCAUCCUGGCACUGCUGUGGCCCUGGAAAGUUCUCAGGAUGAAUGGCCGUGCUAAAAGCUUUCCAGGCCUCCAAGUCCCUGGAGCGCUUCCUCCGAGGCCCCGGCCCGAUUGUCCGGGACCCAGAAAUGGCGAAAGAUCUCUAGGGUGUGUUUAUUUAGCGAAACAGCCACGGAAUGCGAGGAAAGAUUGAGCAACACCUUUGAAUAGUUAAACACUGGCCUGUUCCAGUUGGCAAGAAAUUAUUUUACGAGACUGCCAAACAAGUGUGCUGAUGGUGAUUUAAAGGGCUUCCACAUGAGGGAAAACCAGAGAGAACCUAAGAACGAAAACCAACCUCUCCAGUAAAGUCAUUUGUGUCCUUUCAUUAAAGCCCAGCAUCCAUUAAGGUAACGCUGCACCCGUCAGUCAAGUCAGAACUCAUCUCUGUUUUUGCCCGAGUGGAAAAUUGCAGAACGAGCGAAGAAGAUGGUGUGAGACUCCAGUUGGCUGCGUCUCUGUGAUGGAGUGGGCAGAAGGAAUAAGAUGCUCAUAGAAGCGUGGAGCCUGAGCAGAGGGUGGGGUGACGUGGAAGAACCCGAGUGAAAGGAUGAAGAUUGAAUUUCGUCUUCACAGGCGAGAGCAAACAAAAGGAUGAAAGGAUGACCUGCCGCUGUUCUCCGACUGACUGACAGCCGGACAGUCCCUCGUCUUCCCGACGGGAGGAGCUCCUUUUCCAGUGUCAACUCUUAAAACAACUACUGGAACGGCCGGAGGGUGGACGUCAGCAAACACAAACGACCCGUCACUGAGGGGAGGAUGUAGAAGGAAACGCACAAAGGGAGGGAGGAGGAAAGAAUGGAUGAAUCUAAAGACAGUUAAGCUGCUUAUUAAUUUGUCUGACACUGGGAGAGUGUGCGUGAGAGCGCGUGCUGCCUGUUUGUUCCCCGUGUUUGAGGGAAUACACAACUAGUCACAGUAAAAGCAGAUUAUGAGAUUAAGUGCUGGGAAAUAAAUAAUAAAAAAAACGCAGUAGAUGAUUACUACAGCAAGUACAAUAGCACUGGGAGGAACUCGUCCUUGAUUGAGUGCGACGAGCGGACGCACGUGGGCGUGGAGUUGUUUGGAAGCGCAUUCCUGCGCGAGCGUGCCACGGAUUGUCCGAUCACGUGACAUCAAGGAGGCGGAGGGGGGGCAGAGAGGUUGCGCUCGCUUAAUAACGGCUUUACCGAGAGCAGGGAAAUGAAUCGCUGCAUCGGUUCGACUGAUAAUCCGCUCCGGGUGACAAAUAACCUGCAGAGAAUCACCACGACUUUGGGAGCGCGAUAGAUAAAAGCGGCGCCGUCCGCCUCGCGCGCUGCGCGAUCUCUGGGGAUUAAACUGCUUUAACGCGGAGCAUGUAUAGCAGCUGGGACCGCGCGGUAAAUACGAAGUCGAGGCUUUGAUGUUAAUCACUGCCGGGCCAAUUUGUGCCAUUUUGCUGCUUCCUUUGUUUCCAUCUCCCGCUGCCCCCGUUCCCAUCUCCAGCACCUCCACUUCCUCCGCGUGUUUGGAAACAGGAUCUUGCAGCUUAUAUUGAAAGUGGGACCGCUCCACAACACUCAACACAUGGCAGCAGAUGUGUGGCGGCAUGUGACGAGGGGGGGGGUCUGCUGAGGCAGGGAGACAGAGAGAGAGAAAAGGGAAUAGGGCGGACGAAGGUAAAGAGCUGACAGGAGAAGAGAGGACCGAGGAGGAGGAACGACGGGAGCGCACGGGGAGAGGAGAGGAAUGGAGACGGGUUUAGAGGCUCUCAAACACUUUGCACUCCCAGCACAGCAGAUGCCACAUUCUGUCUGGCACAGUGAUCUGUGGGCCUGCUCUAUUUAUACCCUCAGCGUGUCACUUCAGGGCCAGCGACACACACGCACACACACGCACACACACACACACACACACACACACACACACACA